GCUGCAGUUUUCUAGUCGCAGUGCGGCAAAGCAGACGCAUAGAACCAGGCACAAAGCAGCAUAGAUUUUUUUUAUUCUUGUCUUUUUCGUACGAGGGAAUUUUUCCUGGUGUUAGCGUAGGAACAGACACACAGCCUGGAUGUGUUGGCUUCAGCCUGGCAGCAUUUUCAGCUGAGCAGGGACUGCUCGGAGCUCUGUACCCAAACUGCCUCUGAGGAAGAACGCCUGGUUUCCCACUUUGUGUACUAAGAGGGGUUUUUUUUAUGCCACGGCGAUAUACCUGCAGCGAUAGGACAAAGGAGAUGGUACUUGUCACUGUUUGUACGACUGGGGCCUUUGCAGGCACUCCACUGCCGAAGCUGUGCCAGCGUCCCAGGGUCAUAUAGAUUGGUAACACAGAUUGCCGCAAUUUCUUACAUCACUUAGAGCAAAGCUCAAACGAGAAACCAGACUCUCUGACCUAAAUCAAUCCCCAGUCCUUCUGGAUACAGGGCAGCAGUCGACUAGCAAUGACACAACCAGCCAUCAAGUGGAGAGUCUCUGGGAUUGCAAUCUGUAUCAGUUGGAGUCUGAGAGAAUGAAACCCUUUUGGUUAUCCAGUCGCUUCUCCUUCUUCUCAUACUGCAAUUACUACAACUACUUCUACUACUUCUGGUUUUUCUUGCCUGUAAGAAGCUAUUAAUUGUGCUUGGUCUCUGAGCGUAUAUUUGCGUGGAUUAGUCUGUCUAUAACGCAGUCCUUAUCUGCUCCUGCUGGAAAUCAGGGCACGAAGUCAGCCUGCUUUAACAGUUGUUUCUUUCUGCGUGAUGCUAUGCAACUAGAAUGGGUUACACUGACAACAAAGGAACAAGCACAAAGCACCACUUUCAUUGCUGGACUGUUACAGGAACAUAACUCUUCUUCGAUAUGAUGCCCUGGUCUCUUCUCUUUGCUGUUUUUUGUUUUGUUUUGUUUUUUCUUUAAUUCAUCUAAUUGAAGAGCCUAACAGACACCAUCGUGGAUGUGGUUUUUAAUGAUUUGGAAAAGACAGCCUGUGGAGACUGCGAUUUGAGACAGCAACUCAUUUAGGUUAUUGCCAAUUUGAAAUACUUGGUUUGUGAAGCGCAGCCCUAAGGGACGAGCUCAGUAACUGAGAAAGAGAUUGUAGAUAAAGAAAUAAAAAUGACAAGCGUAAUGGAGGCUCUGCAAAAGAGACUGUCAGAGAAUCAGUUCAUGGAUGGCAAUUUCACCAGUCUGAAUCUGAAUAAUUCAUAGAUUGAAAUUACCCUGCUUUCACCUUUCCAUUUAAACCGGCAUGAUCUGAAUCUCUAAUAAAUUUUCAAGAUAAAGUAAAAUGCCAAUUUGAAUCUGAAGAGCUUUUAAAACCAGAUGCUACACCCUGAAUCUUUCGAUACUUUUCACAAUUAUUCUGUGAGAACCGCACUUCAUCACGAAGCACCAUUACCAGUGAAAAUUACUGUGAUUACAAUAGCAACAAUAGAAUACCAUCAAAUGAUCUCUAAUUUACCUAAUUUACCAAGGCUGACUGUGUGCCCAUUGUGUUUCACUACGUCUGGCAUUGGAUCAAUAUCACAGUGGAACAAAAAUGCCUUAGUGUGUGCUUCCUUUUGGUACCUUUAACUUUGACAGCACAGGAAAAAUCUAUCUACUGUUAAAUGUUUUUACAGCCAGUCUACAUGCCUGCUGUAGGAUCUGAUUGAUUCUCCAUGAUUUUCUUUAGUUCCUGGGUACUGGAUGUCAUUGUGUUACUAAUUUGUUUGUAACGUAGGCUCAUGCACAAAGACUGCAGCAGACGAGUACCAACAGAGAGACCCUGCACUGCUGCUGCAGUAGCAGCGCUCUCGCAGGGGAAGCCAAAACCAGUUCGGUGCCUUAUGUGAAUAAUUACUUGUGUCUGAGUUUUACAAAUGCUCUCUGGCAUCACCGGUCUUGGUUGUACUACAUGAAAAAUGUAUGCAAAAGCCAUGGUCAAGAAAAACGAUCGUGUGUAAUACUAACAAGAUUUUUUCCCUAUUCAGCAAUUAGCAUGUGGUUGUGAGAGACAGGCUGCGAGUCCUUCUGUAGAUGUGUGUAUGUAGGUACGCAUGCACAGACAUAAACGUAAAGAUACCGUGCUUUGCGAGUAUGUGCUGAUCACUGAAAGUAACAACUUUUUCUGACAAGCCAGGUGCAGUGUUUUGCCACAAUCUGCUCGGUUGUAACAAAUCCCUGUCUUGGAGGUGUAAAACUCCUCUAUAGGAUGAUGCGUGACUUCUGGAACAGUAAGUACCAUUUAAGCAAUAUGUUGGUGCCUAUAGCUGUGAUACAGAUCAGUAUUUUAAGCAUAGUUCGAGUCCUUGUAGCAUAACUACAAUGUGGAGAAGUGAGAAAGAUAUAAAGAAGGCUAGAAACAGGCAUUCUUCAUGGAGACGACUGUAUCUGCUGUCUGUAUGCGAGUUGUACACUUCAGGCUUGUUUUUUCAUUUUAUAACCAGAUUUACUCUGCCUUCAGGGAAUAUUUUCUAAGGAAGGAAGGUAAGCAGUAUUUCUUCUUAUUUCUAUGACCGUAUUGCAUUUCUUUUGGGGAAAAUGCAUGUUUAUAGCACGUAGUUACAUAACAUAGCAUGAUCUCAUGACAUCUAAUUAAGUGUUUCAGUAUUUGUUCACAUUAAAACCGGGCAAGAAAGCAUAUUUAAAAUAUGGCUUCUUAUUCAAAAUACACUCAUAGAAAUGCUACACAGAAAAAGAAUUUAAAGAUUGGGUUUGUAUUCAGCUUGGACUCUUUAAUGUUAUUAAAUAAGAGUUUAUUCUACCUAAAUAAUAAUGUUCUUGAAACCUUUGGAUUUUAGAUAUUUUGUCUUCGUAAAACACAAUUUACUGUACUUCUAAAUUUCCUGUAUAUGAGUGGAGACUGGUCUCUAGAGGUAGAAGAGGCAGAAGGUUUUACAGCUUGAGCUGUGAUAACAAAGGAAUUUGAAAGGGCACAAAAUACGAUUAUACAAAAAUCUUGAAUUUUAAAUCAUUCAGUAAUGUGAUUUAGCAAACUGUUUUGCUUAGGCAACAUACUCGCAAGUUAUUACACUAUCUGGAAUUAAUCAGUCCAUUCAGUGCUGCUAUAUUUAUAUCCUUCAUUUUCACAUGGUAUUCAAAACUUAACAAAGAGAAAUCCUUGCACACAGCAAAGACUGAAACUCUGGUGAAAGUGUAAAACCUACAUUCUGUUAUUGUGGUAAUAAAUCAAGAGAUUCAGAUCAAACUUUUCUGAAGAGAAGUAGGUGUUUUGGCUUAAUUGUUUUAUGAUGAGCAUUUUAUGGUUUUGUGUACACAAAUAUAACACAGACUGAUAUAACUACUAUACUGCAAGGAUCAUGCAAACAGGAAUGUGAAUGAUUUGCAAAAUACCUUACAAAUACCUGCUAGCAUUUACAUUAUUAUUAUUACUACCAUAACCUUCUAGUAUCAUAUACUGCUUUGAAAUCGUAGUCUGUUAAGCAUUUUGAUUCUGUAGAGUAUUUGCAUUCAGAUUUUUUUUUAUCAGUGUUAUCUCCCGCAGCAGUCUGUAGAGAGUGGCUGGUCAUGGGGUGUUAGAUGUCCUCAUUAACAACUGCAGAGCAGAUCUAAUAUGGAGUUAAAUGCUCCUGACGUCUUCAUUUAAGGCCCCGAUCCAAAUCAGACUGCAGAUCCACUCUGGAGUCCUCUAACUUACUCUGUGUUGGUAUCAUUGAAUUUUGAAUGUGCCACUGGCUUUCUCCCACUGCUCCAUACUGGCUUCACAUUUCAAAAUAUGCAGUGCUGGUCAGGCCUAAUACUGUUUCUCAAUGUAAGUCACUGCAGUAGUUGCCAGAGGAUGUUAUGACAGUGCCCUCAGGAGGUGAGGCUAUCUGCGAGACUCUGUUACCAAGUACUCUGAAAAAGUUUGAAAACCUCCGGAAGUAAACUCUGCCAUUUGGGCUGCCGUGGGUUUCAAAGAAGGCAGGAUUGCAAGCUGCCGGCAGGAGAGAUUGCACAAGCAAAUGGGGAGAAAAGCAUUAAAACCUUUUCAGCCACAGGAUCAUGAAGUGAAUAUUAGCAAUAUUACCUCAUAAAAAGCAUUAAAAUAUAGUCAACUGUAUCAUCAAUGCAUUUUCUGACAUGGCUGUAGCUAAUCAGGUGCAACUACAGCUAAACUGUUUAAGCUGUAUAAUUGUAUGUGCUGAAAUAAGUAGCAGACUUGCAAUAUUAAAUUUCUAACAUAAAGCCACUAAUUUUAGCAAUAGUGAUUCAACAGUUAAUCUACAUUGUAUUACAAGAUAUAUUAGUCUGGUUUUGUGCUUAUAUGUUUCCACUGUGUUACACUUGUCUAUAAAUGAAUCUGCAAUGGCAAAAUAAGGGCCAAAUAACUUCUUUACAUGCCUUAUUCAUCCGAGUAAAAUUCCCUCUAUGCGUUUGAUGGGCCCACGGCCUCAUGUGCAGCUAGACAGUGAUCACAUGAUGCAGUUGUACAUGUGAAGAACAUCCUGGAGCCCGUUCUACUGCCACUGAAGUCAAUAGCAAGACUCCCUGUGCCAUCAGCAUAAAAGAUGGAUGAAUUACUUUCCUUCCAUUACAGCCCCCCUGUGAAAGCUGUUCCUGGUUGGUUUUUUUUUUUUUUUUCCUUUUUUUCUUCUUGAUCGUAAGAGUCUGGUAUAGUUGACAUAACAUUGAACAGAAGGUGCUUUCUAUUCAUCAGGACACAUGACCUGAGCUAAACAUACACAGAAACCAGCAACUCAGGAUACAUUUAUUUGCAAAUUGACGGGACCUUCUUGACUGUAGUUGUGUUGAUAGUAUUUGUGCUCGCUAGCUUGACAAUUCUGCAUUCUUAUCAGCUGCUAUAAAACACACAAGUUCUGAUCUGUAAUGGUUGUAUCUAUUUGGACAAGAGCCCUGAGGAUAGGAGGAUCUGUUGUGGGUUUGGUGCUUUUUUUUUUUUUUUUUCACCUUACAGUUGCUGUGAACGAAUUGUAACUGCCUCUGGAAAUGUGAUCCCCUAAGAAUGCAGAGAAAUGCAUUAUUGAUAAGUAUGUAUAAAGUAUCUCUAGAUUCCUCUGCACUCUGGCUGCUGUGAAUUUCAAACCAUUAUUCCCAGGCAAAAAUGUUAGGAGGAGGAAAGUAAGGCUGAAGUAAUUUGGAAGGAUAACAGCAGCAUUUCCAAACCAACCAUUUCGAUGCAGGAAAUUCAGAGUUAAACAGAAGAAAAUCCAAAUGGGUUCAUAGAAACAAUUAAAAUACCUAAGCAGUUUACUCCCUUUUUGGUGCCUUGUGAUAACUGCAGGAUGCGAUAGAGGUAAAUGAUUUUGCCAUUUCAGUUUAUAUUAUAUAGAUACAAUCAAAAAACACCUCUGGCUUUAGAAGUAUUCGCAUCUCAUUUCACAGUAUCAGUUCAGUUUCUUUAUGGAUUAUAAACAUACACCUGCUCCGUGCUUUUAGCUGCACAACUGUAACGUAACCAAAAGUGCUGAAAAUGGAAUGAUUUCUGACCGACCGAAAGGGGGAAAUUAAUCCCAAAAGGGGAAUUGCAGUGGAGGCAAUGGGUUGCCCAGGUCUCAUGCCAACAGAGCUUCUUGUGGAGGGUUUUCCAGAUCAGGUUAAACUCCUCAUGGUGUUAGAAUUUGUCUUAAUGAACGCAAAGUUAAAAAUGAGUGGGAAUUCAAAAUAUGGCCCCGUUUGUGCCUGAAAACUUGCCCUUUGUUUAAAAACCACAUUUGAUACUAUUUCUCUCACGGCUCUUGUCUCAAAGUUUACCAGGGAAUUGAAUCCAAAAGCAUAUUUGCAACAAUAUAGCUCAUCCAUAGCUAGUCAUGCAUAGCCAAGCACACGCAAUGAAUUAGCACCUGUGCAAAAUGCUAAAUUGGGAAAUGCUGUUAAAAUGGAAAAAAAAAAAAAAAAAAGAAAAAAUUAUAGACUGUAGGAUUGCCGUUGAGCUGGUUACUUAUACUGAGUCUUUCACAGAGAUUGCGCAGAAGCGAACGUACGGUUCAAUUCUAGUCGGUCGCGCCCAGCAAAAGGUUCGGCAGAGAAGCCGUGUCCCGCGCUCAGGCGUUUGUGUUUCCUCUGCCGCCCCCGCUGGUUCCAGAGGCGCCUCCCGCGGCGCAGCAGCCGCAGCGGCCUCCCCUCCCACCUGCGGGCGGGCAUCCCGGUGGAGCUGAUAGCUGUGGACUGCUGACUGGUACACUAAGCAGGUAACCUGAAGCCCGAGUGGUUACAGGCGUAUUGGAUCCCACACCUUGGCAGAGGAUUAUUUCUGCAUAUGUUCCAGGACAGCUCAGCACUGAAGACAUACAAGGAAAAAAAAAAAUCUUGAUUCUGCAACAAUUUGUUUGGAUCCACUGAAGAUUUCAAGGAUUUCUUAAAGUCUUUAAGGAGCAAGACAAGCAAAUUGAUCAGGAUAAAGCUAAGUUUCAAGUCUUUGCUUGUCUAGACGUAAAGCCUCUUUGAAUAAAAUGGAGCAAGGGGUAAGACACGGAAGUCUUUUAAAACAAGAAUUCCAUUCAUUUGUGCAUUACUGUAAUUAUACUACUGUCUUAAAUGCUCUGAGGUUGACGGUGCUUGUGACCUUUCCAGUAUGUUUCAUAAGGGGGACAGUAUAACCUUGCACUGCCCCAAAACAGAACUGAGCCUUUCCAUCUAUUAAAGCUCUCUUAGGCAAUUCACUGAACACCAUAAUGGCUCCUUUAUAGCCAUUGUACUUGUACUUGAUAGCGUAGGGCGCAUUCCAAGGAAAAUGGGGAUCGUUCCUGCAUUUUGCCUACUUAGUGUUGUUGUACAGCUUGAUGUAAAAGCUGAUAACAAAAUAGAUGGUGUGUUUUGUUAGUAGGGCCCAGCCUAACAACCACACUAAUAAUAUCGUAAUUAUACCAGGGAUGCAAGUUUGCUUUUAAACACAUUUUCCCUGGCAUCUCCAAUAUGUGAGUUUAGAAAAAAAAGUAUUUUUUCAAGUUUUAAUUUCCUCCAGAAGCAUAUAAUAACUCACUGCCUUUUCCUCUCCUUCAGGUUGGCUCUCAUUGCCACAGAUAGAGCUACAAGUACCUAUCUUUUGGCUGAAGUUUUCUUGCCUGCUGAACUGUCAGAGCCUUUUGGGGGACAUUUCAGUUAGCAUGCCUCGUGCAACAGCAUGCCCAGUUCCCAUAUAUCUGUAGGUCAUUAUUAACGUGUACUGCAUUUCACAAAAGAGUUCUGGAUGGUACUUGUCCCAGAGAGCUUGGUCAGAAGGAAACUGUAAACCCUGGGCUCUCCAGAAGGCCAGCGUUCCUCUGGUCCUGCUCCAAAAUACCGCAGCGGGUGGCUGAGCACCCCAUGCCACGUCGUCCCACGCAGCACGCGACACGGCAGCUGCUGGGGCAUCGCUAGGUGAUGCACUAGUCUCUGCCCUGCGGGUGAAGUUACUGACGCUCGCCAGCUGCUAGUUGUGCGGAUGAACCUGAACACCUUCCUCUUACCUUCGAAAAGACAAAUAUUGCAAAUCAUAACAAUUAUACCAAUAAACAAAGGGAAUGUAUUAAGAGAAAAAGUAACAUCUUCGUUUUUAAACUUUGCUCAGAACAACUUGAAAAAGGUAGACAAUCACAUCGUCCUAAAUGAAACAAAAAAUAAUUGGGGAAAAAACCCCAUCCACAGGCAUAGUAUUCGAAGAAGGCCAGGAAAGACAUCUGACCUGUCAUUUGAGUCCUUCUGUAUCAAACAAAUACAUUAACAGUAACUGUAAUGAAAUUAGACUUAUUAUGCAUACAUGAGCAAUAAAAAAAACAAACAAGAAAUCCACUCUGGCAGUGAUCAAGUUUAAGAAAAAUAAAGUGGAAGCUUAUAAAAGAUGUAUCAAAAGUGACAAGCCCAAGAGGAAGAUACUUCCCAGCAGCUUGAAGUCUCAGAGUAAAUACUUUAGAAAAAGCUGCCAUGGUUAAACAAAGGAAGUUUAUUAAAAAUAAUACAUUCCUCAAGAAGUUGACGGUGAAAAUAGGACAUAAAACAUAAACACAUCGUAUGCCCAAGAAGACAUCGACGGCCAUCAAAAACCUGUGUUAAUCCUUUCCUGUAGCAAGCAGGUCACCAGUCAAAGAAUUAGCAGGAGCAGUAGAUUGCUAAGACAUAAAAGGAGCACACAGGAGAGAUAAGGCCAUGGCAGUGAACUGCAUGGAUUCUUUGCAUCCCUGUUUGCUAUAAACUAAAGGAUGUUCCCUUGUUGGAAACUUUCUUUAUACAGCAUAAAUAGGAGAGAUUACUGAAAAUUAUCUACCAGUAGGUUUCUAAGCUAAGCAGUAACAAUUUCAAAGAACAACCAAAACUAGAUUUAGUAUGCAUGGAAAAGGGAAAGUAAAGAAGAGAGCUCUCUAAAAUCAUGAGUAGUAAAGACAGGUCAAAUAGGGAGUGGGAGUUUCUGUAUUAUGAAAGGCGGUGAACAAGGAUGCAUCAAAUCAUUAGCUGAUUCAAAACAAAUAAAACCAGAAGUAUUUCCUCAUAUAGCAUGUUGGUAACUUUGAAUUUCCUUGCCACAAAAUGUUGUGGUUUACAGAAUUUGAUAUGAGUUAAAGAUCCUUUGGACAAACUCAUCCAUCAGGAUCUAUUAAAUAGAAAAACUCUACCUCUGACUUUGGAAGUCAUAUCACUAGAAGCUGGGAAUAUAAGGCAGGUAGCUAUCACUGCAUGCUUGUCAUUUUAUAAUAACCUUUAGUAAUCAUCCUCUACUUUUCACCACUUUUGGAGCCAGGACACUGGACUAGAUGGAUCUUUUUUAGACUGAGCUGGGACAACCCUUCUUACAUCCUGCUUUUAAGUAGCUCCUGCAGUUUGUGGAGAGCCUUCUGUGGAUUCAACCUGGACAACAGGAGUCAGAUAAAGGAGUCCAAACAGAAUUAAGACUGAAAAUACUAGGAAUAGGUAACUUAGAGAGCGGGAUCAGCAAGUAAUGUAAAGAAAAGAUAAAGCAGAAUUAAACCUGCAUGUAGUCCCUAACUCUUAAAGUAAAAACUGGCAGCACACAUGAGAUGACAGAAAAUAAUUCUUCAUCCCUGUAAAAGAAAAAAAUACUGUCUUCCUCCCAGCAGGUGAAAUGACAAGAAAAUUGCAGUGUGUCCUUAAACUGAAAGAAGCUUAAUUCUCAGCUCAAAUC
Long non-coding RNA from Grus americana (Whooping crane), 9103 nucleotides. RefSeq lists it as uncharacterized. The transcript has 4 exons. The record is from RefSeq and is a predicted model, not a curated record. Lineage: Eukaryota; Metazoa; Chordata; Aves; Gruiformes; Gruidae.